Molecule: small RNA, 94 nt
Filed under: uncultured Treponema sp.
Lineage: Bacteria; Pseudomonadati; Spirochaetota; Spirochaetia; Treponematales; Treponemataceae
Description: TD-2 RNA
Rfam family: TD-2 RNA
About the family: non coding RNA found in Treponema denticola
Source: RNAcentral
CCGCCACGGAUGGCGGUGGUUCUAAACUUCGAGAGUUUUGCGGUGAGCAAAACUCUAAGAUGAAAAAUGUACAAGGAUGUACAUUUUUCAUCGA